RNAcentral lists this long non-coding RNA (496 nucleotides) under Cervus hanglu yarkandensis (Yarkand deer). Its description in RNAcentral is "lncRNA (ENSCHYG00000013811.1)". Lineage: Eukaryota; Metazoa; Chordata; Mammalia; Artiodactyla; Cervidae. The record is from RNAcentral.
AGAACAGCCCAGGACUGACUAGAAGUGGGAAGAUGGAAUUUCAGAGCACCAUUCUGCCUCUUCCUUUAUGUGAUCUUGUAGGGGUCAGUGCAGACCACUGACAAUACUUAGACAUUACACAUGUGCCUUUAUUCUACCCUUUCAACAGUACCAAUGCAGUCCUGUUUGCUCAGUGUUCAUGCUGAAUGUCCCUAAUGAAGCUGUACCUAUAAGCCAUCUGGAUCACUGCAGAAAUGAUCAUCUGAAUUUCUCUUUUCUGAUGUCGGUAUUCCAGGACUGCCAGCCUGCCGACAGCCUCUGCAGAAACUCCGCACACCCUUCCGUUGAGUGUUCUGAGGAAGUAACCAUCUUCAGACAGAGCUGAAGCCGCCGUUGGAGGGAGGCUCAGGGACUUGAUGUACUGGGGCUGGCUGCUGGGCUUGUGUUCAUCAUUUCUGUGGCAUCUAGAUUCUUCUCCCACAGUUCAGGUAUAUGCCUGAACAUUUGUUAUAACUUC